ACAGAGUUAUCCAUCAGCCACUGCCACCGCCACCGCCACCGCCGCCAUGCUCCCCGACUCCCCGCUCGCCGUCGUCUUCUCCCCUCCCACUGCAAAUCCGUGCGCCCAAGAUCCCCUACCGCUGCGUAGAUGCCCCACUUCCAGACCGCCGGAUCAACGCCGCCGAUCCCGUCCAAACCCACCGGCCCCCAUGUCGUCCACCGUGACCUACAGCAGUCGCGGCGACUCCCUAUUCCUCUCCCUCCGCGCCCUGGAGUCUCUGGUUGGUCUGUGUUUGUUUCAAACAAGGUGGUCAGGCGUACGUCCUGUGCCUCUCUUUGUUGCUGCACCUCGUUUGAGACGAAAACAGACCAACCGGAGUCUCCUGGCAUAGCAUCAUCAGGAAUUAUAUAAUCUCUUCUUGCCUCAGGAGAUGGGAUGCAGCAGGUUCCAUCUCCAAUUGCAAGCUUCCUAGUAGUAUCGGUCAGGGCCAGGCCGUGAGAAGUGCCAGUUUCUAUUGAUCAAUAAUGGUUACAAUUCAAUCAAUUUCUGUUGUUGCAAUUCAUGUAGCUUUUGGGCUAAGUUGGUUUGAAUCGUUUGAUUUAGGGACAUGGACUUGGUGCCGCGAACUCAUGUUGUCCAAACCUGUUCUGUUGUGAACCAACGUAUGUGCAAGACCUAUAUGGGCUAUGACCCCCUAACUAUAUUUGCCACCCAUGGAUGGAAACCUACAUCACGAAGAGUCAUCUCCAGCUGCUGAUGCCUGUAGGAUUUCCUUGGUUAGCUCCUUACAAGUUGAUAUUGUCAUAUGAAAGGGAAUUGAUGAAACAGUCGACUGAAUUGAUGAAACAGUGGACUGAAGCUCAUCCCCCUAGGUCCAAGGAAUUGAUGAAUUGUUAGUUCCUGGAAGAAGCUGAUGUGUGCCACUCACCGGAGGGGAUUAAUGAAGCUCUUAUAGGUGGUGAAAUCCUUUUUUUGGUCAACUGACUGAUUCGAGCAAAUCUUCGAGGUUGGUGCUCAUAUUUUUGUUUGUGGGGAGUUCUUCACUUGACAAAUCCGUAACGGCUGCUGUCAGGUAAUUAGUUCAGACGUGGGACUGUUUUACCUCAUCUCUUCAUGCAAAUAUAAUCCAAACAUUGUCUAUUUAUAUCAUGGUGUUUCCAUCAAGAUGUUAACUGAACUUCAAAACAAAUCAGUUCGUUGUGAUCACCUAAUUGCCUUAAGUUAUUUGAGACCUGAAAAGCUGGGCCUGUUUAGAAUUGGCUUGCUAUGAUGCUACAGUACUAACAAGUCACAGGUGGUUAAGAGACCUUUAAAUAGAUCCGUUGAGUUUAUAAUUUAUUUAUCAUGGUGUCAUGUAUGCAUUGCGACACAUUCUACCACACUGGCUAGAUGUUUGAUUUGACAGUGUCAUUUGAUAUUCUUUGGAGGUCUCAUUUUUUGAGGAAGGAGAGCCUAAACUUGAUGGGAAACCUAGAGACUUUGAAGGUUUGCUUUGCCCUUUGGUUGAGAUUUAGCAUGGCAUUGAUGUGACUAACUUUUAUUUAUGUGUGCUGUGACUAACUCCGUCUUAAAAGAGUAACUUAUUGAGCAGUUAAUAGUUCGGACAUCAUCACAUGAUCGCUUCAGAAGUGAAGUCACCAACCUGCAUGCAACUCCCUGGUAUAUUUCUAGAGCUUGAGCCCAAUUCUUCAGUUUCUGCAAGAUGGUUUCUAAGCACUUGAGUAAAUUUCACUUAUUAUUCUUAAUUCACUUUUCAGUCUUACUAAAUAAUACGUUGAUUAGAAUUUAUCACUUGAUAAGGCUGCUAUUAUGUUUGUGUACAUGUAAUAACAAGCACUUUCCAGGCAUAAACACAUGCUACAGUAAUGCAUUCACGUAAGCUUAUACUCCAAACUUUAGUGUGCAAAGGUGGUGCUACUUGAAUUCUGCACUAACUCAUAAUAACCUUUGCUGUGAGUUUCCUGUAAUUGAAAUGUGUUGCAGUGUGCAUCUGUAUAUGACCAUUGUAUGCUGUAUGAUUCAUGAUCUAUAAUUAAUCAGUCAUGAUCUCCAUUUGUCUGAUAAGAGAAGAGCACUAUUCUGUUCUCAUUUAGUUUCUUUCCUACUGAUGGAACAGAAAUACUACACAUUCCUAGCUUUUGUCUUUUCUACUCUUAAUAGUUCUGAUAUGUACCGAUUGUAUAUUUGUUUCUUGGUCUCAUACUGACCGGAGAGAACAAUUACUAUACUUGACUGGCCCCUACCCUAUGAAGAUAAAAUAUUAUCUGCGCCAUGCUAAAUAAUUACCAUUACUAGCAUAUUUUCCCAUUUAAAAUAUAUAUCAUAUGUAAUGCUCACUGUCCAACUAUCAGCUUGAAAAUAUAUCUGCAAAUAAACUGAUGGCUUCAGUAGAUCCAAAGUUCAAGGAAGCUAUCCUUAAAUAUGUACAACUCCAGCUGUGUAUACAUCUUAAAAAAUAUCUAUGUACUAGACCAUAUAUACGUGAUAUUCCUAAUUAAGUCCUAAGAUAGUAAUAUUUAUACGAUGAUUAUCUAAACCUGCAUUGUUUUGCCAUCUCGUUUCAAAGGGACAUUCCUACCUGUUUGCCCACUGUUCAUAAAAGCAGCACACAGAAAAAUAUUUAUUAUAUGACCUGUUCACUGUUGUGCCUUCGUAGAAGUAUGUGUGAUUCAUAUUUCCAUAAGUUUUUUGAACAUGGCUAAUGUUCAUUUUGCAUAUGGUUCAUAAUAAAAUAUGAUGUUUGCUCCUUAAAAACCCUGGUAACUUCUCUAUGGCCUUUGGCAAAUUAUAGGCCCUACUGUUGCACAAUCAAUUCUACCAGUUACUUUCCAUGUAUAUAGUUUUAUCUACUGAUAAAACACAACAUCAGUUUUUCUUUUACCAGAAGUACAAUAUAUUUCUCCUCUUUCCAUAUGUAAGAUCUUUAUUGCUCUUUGUGCAUAAUUUUACCAUAUCUAUACCCUUCUAAUAGAUUCAUGCCGCACUUCUGUUUUCUCUGUAUACACCACUGCCACCAUAUUGAGCUUAACAACAACAACAAAGCUUUUAGUCCCAAACAAGUUGGGGUAGCCUAGAGGUGAAACCCAUAAGAUCUCGCAACCAACUCAUGGCUCUGGCAUAUGGAUAGCAAGCUUCCACGCACCCUUGUCCAUAUGUAGCUCUUUGGUGAUACUCCAAUUCUUUAGGUCCCUCUUUGGUG
Long non-coding RNA from Triticum aestivum (bread wheat), 3181 nucleotides. RefSeq lists it as uncharacterized. The record is from RefSeq and is a predicted model, not a curated record. NCBI's taxonomy places the organism in Eukaryota, Viridiplantae, Streptophyta, Magnoliopsida, Poales, Poaceae. The transcript has 4 exons.